GACGAACGUUGGCGGCGUGCUUAAUACAUGCAAGUCAACUGAAGCAGUGGUAGCAAUAUCGCUGUGGAGGUGGCGCACGGGAGAGUAACACGUAGGUAAUCUGCCUUCAGGUCUGGCAUAACUCCGGGAAACCGGGGCUAAUAGCAGAUGAUGCAGCGGCUCGACAUCGAGACAGUUGUUAAAGCUAUGGCGCCUGAAGAUGAGCCUGCGUCUGAUUAGCUAGUUGGCAGGGUAACGGCCCACCAAGGCAACGAUCAGUAGCUGGUCUGAGAGGAUGAUCAGCCACACUGGAACUGAGACACGGUCCAGACUCCUACGUGAGGCAGCAGUAAGGAAUAUUGCUCAAUGGGAGAAAUCCUGAAGCAGCAACGCCGCGUGAGGGACGAAGGGCUUUUGCUUGUAAACCUCUGUAGUGAGAGAAAAAAAUCCCAAUCUUUGGGACAUGAUGGUAUCUCAAAAGUAAGCCCCGGCUAACUACGUG
RNAcentral lists this ribosomal RNA (481 nucleotides) under uncultured bacterium. Its description in RNAcentral is "partial 16S ribosomal RNA". It matches the Rfam family "Bacterial small subunit ribosomal RNA", at positions 28 to 507 of the family's 1533-position model. The record is from RNAcentral.